This is a long non-coding RNA of Aegilops tauschii subsp. strangulata, 1882 nucleotides long. RefSeq lists it as uncharacterized. Lineage: Eukaryota; Viridiplantae; Streptophyta; Magnoliopsida; Poales; Poaceae. The record is from RefSeq and is a predicted model, not a curated record.
CUCCCACCUCCACGGCGCGCUCCCCCCACCUCCCCUGGUGUUAACCGCACUGGCCACCACCCGCGCCGGCACGCCACCACCGGCGCCUUCUUCCCGCGUGCUGCCAGCGGCAUGGAGGCGCGCCGCCGGAGCACCUAGGCCCCGGCGUCGAAUCCGGGCGGCAGCGCGCCGCCGCGCCUCUGUUUCCUCGAUCUACGUGGCCUCCCGCGUACAAGCUCUCGACCAGGAUCCCGCGCUCACCGCCGGCGAACACACCUCCGGUCCACCCCGCCAACCAGCGCUGAACUCCUGCAACCCCGCCAUGCCCGCGACCUUCCUCCCCUUGCCGGCGAGCCUCCCUCCCUCGGCCACCUCCUAGCAUGAGCCGGCGCCGGAUCCAGGCCGCAGCUGGGAUCCACUUCGCCCCCGCACUCCACCGCGCGGCCCCAGCAGCGCCGCCCGAACAUGCCCCGCACUCCACUGCGCGGCCCCAGGUGCGCCGACCGAGCGACGGAUUCGGCCCCGCCACGGCGCCCAGGCGACGGAUCCCUCUUGGAUCACGUCGGAUCCAGGAACUGCUGCUCCAGUGGCUUGCGGGCGAGGAGGCGCGCAGAAGGGGUCGGGGCUACCGUCCCUCACCUCUCUUGCAGUCCACCGUCGUCGUCAGACAUGUGCGAUUACCUGAUGUGUCGAUCGAGGGGACUCCCCUGGCCUCCUCCUUUCCUUGUCAUCGCACGCGCAUGCCACCGCCACACCAGCCCAGGUUCCCCCCUCCUAUCCUCUCCCUGUUGUUCUCCGAUGAGGGCGAGUAGCGGAGCCUACCUGACGUAGGUCGAUUGGGUCAUCCUCUCUGGCUUGAGCAGCCCAAUGCCAUUGCUGGAGCAGUACACAGCAGCAGGUGUGUGCAGCCACCAUCGACUUCCCGCGGGGAAGAGAUCCCUCGGCCAUGCCACAUCCGCCCCUGGGAUUCAGUUCGCCAGAGCACCCCUCGCAGCUCUCUCUCUUCGCAGGAGAACUAUGGCAGUGUGUCGGCUUGCAGUCCGGUCGUGAGUUCAGUGCAGCACAGACGGCGAUGCCGUGUAGUUUGCCAUCCAAAUCCCAUCCAGGGUUGUUGCUAUUCAGAAACAUUUUCUUGUGUUUUCAGAAAAUUUGAUGAGUUGUUUUGGAUGCAGUGCAAUUCAGAAGCUUCUGUGCAGUCUGGUGACCACGGACGUGCGGCUCGCUAGCAUUAGAUGCGCUUCAGUGCUCCUGUGGGUGCAGUUCAUGAGCGCGCCGGCGACGACGGCAGCAAUGCAGUGCACUCUAGUAGUUGCCGUGGUGCACUCUGGUGGUCGUUGUGGUACAGCUCAGUGGCUGGCCAGUUCCCUGGUCGUGCAGCUUGGUGACGCGCCAGGUGCAGUCAGCUGAGCGACACUCUUCUCCAAGCAAGAAGAGGAGGGCGAUCUUGGUUCCCUGUCCCUGUGCAGUACAGGCGAUGCGCCUGUGCGGUGCGGAGCACAUGUGCAAGUCCGUCGGCCAUGCGUGUAGUACAGGUCGCAUAGUGGUGUAGUUCGCCGCUGAACCCCUGUUGUAGUUUUAUGGCGCCCUGCGUGUGUGUGAUGCAGUUUGGCGUCUCCCUCGGGUGGACGCAUAGCUGCACUCCAGAUCGCUCAGUACUGCAACUCUUUCCUUCCUUUUUUUACUUAUUUUUUCUACGAAAGAAAGUGGUGCAGUUCGGUUGGAUGUCCCAUUGGAGUUUGACCUUGUGCCAUUUCAGAUCAUAUUGUGCAGUGCGACAUGAGUUUCUCUGCUUGGGGUGCUCCGGGUACUUCAGUUGGGCUACUCGAAGAUAAAAAAUUAUGUGUACAGUAUAUAGUUGUAUGGCUGUGUAAAAAAUAUGAAUUUGUGUGUUGAGCAUUCUGAA